Non-coding RNA from Odocoileus virginianus texanus, 333 nucleotides. NCBI's taxonomy places the organism in Eukaryota, Metazoa, Chordata, Mammalia, Artiodactyla, Cervidae. The record is from RefSeq and is a predicted model, not a curated record.
AUUGCUGAGGCAGCAAAUUACAAAAACUGCUUGCUCUCUGCGACCAGCUAUCUGAUCUCCCUGGAGGUCUCCCCGACGCCGAAGCUCUCCCAGAAUUUAUCGGGCUCCCCUCUUAUCACUGUCCACCUCCGGCACCAUUUGACUCAAAGGCAGUACAUUGAGGCCACCAAUGAGAGCAACCGAAUCUUCCUGUAUUGCGCCUUCCUGGACUUCAGCUCUGGAGAAGGCAUCUGGUCGAACCAGGGCUGUGCGCUCACGGAGGGGAACCUCAGCUAUUCCAUCUGCCGCUGCACUCACCUCACCAACUUUGCUAUCCUGAUGCAGGUGGUCCCG